This 219-nucleotide unclassified non-coding RNA is filed under the name uncultured Actinomycetes bacterium. Its description in RNAcentral is "uncultured actinobacterium contains 16S-23S intergenic spacer region". It matches the Rfam family "Bacterial small subunit ribosomal RNA", at positions 976 to 1197 of the family's 1533-position model. The record is from RNAcentral. Lineage: Bacteria; Bacillati; Actinomycetota; Actinomycetes.
UGGGUUUGACAUCAGGGGAAAAGCUGCAGAGAUGCAGUGUCCGUAAGGGCCCCUGACAGGUGGUGCAUGGCUGUCGUCAGCUCGUGCCGUGAGGUGUUGGGUUAAGUCCCGCAACGAGCGCAACCCCCGUCCUUAGUUGCCAGCACGUAAUGGUGGGGACUCUAGGGAGACUGCCGGCGCCAAGCCGGAGGAAGGUGGGGAUGACGUGUCGUUACCUUA